CAGCCGCCGCGGUAAUACGUAGGUGGCAAGCGUUGUCCGGAAUUAUUGGGCGUAAAGGGCUCGCAGGCGGUUUCUUAAGUCUGAUGUGAAAGCCCCCGGCUCAACCGGGGAGAGUCAUUGGAAACUGGGAAACUUGAGUGCAGAAGAGGAGAGUGGAAUUCCACGUGUAGCGGUGAAAUGCGUAGAGAUGUGGAGGAACACCAGUGGCGAAGGCGACUCUCUGGUCUGUAACUGACGCUGAGGAGCGAAAGCGAGGGGAGCGAACAGGAUUAGAUACCCCCGUAGUCCCUGUCUCUUAUAC
RNAcentral lists this ribosomal RNA (301 nucleotides) under uncultured bacterium. RNAcentral describes it as "partial 16S ribosomal RNA". It matches the Rfam family "Bacterial small subunit ribosomal RNA", at positions 509 to 807 of the family's 1533-position model. The record is from RNAcentral.